UGGGGAAUAUUGCACAAUGGGCGCAAGCCUGAUGCAGCCAUGCCGCGUGUAUGAAGAAGGCCUUCGGGUUGUAAAGUACUUUCAGCGGUGAGGAAGGGAGUAAAGUUAAUACCUUUGCUCAUUGACGUUACCCGCAGAAGAAGCACCGGCUAACUCCGUGCCAGCAGCCGCGGUAAUACGGAGGGUGCAAGCGUUAAUCGGAAUUACUGGGCGUAAAGCGCACGCAGGCGGUUUGUUAAGUCAGAUGUGAAAUCCCCGGGCUCAACCUGGGAACUGCAUCUGAUACUGGCAAGCUUGAGUCUCGUAGAGGGGGGUAGAAUUCCAGGUGUAGCGGUGAAAUGCGUAGAGAUCUGGAGGAAUACCGGUGGCGAAGGCGGCCCCCUGGACGAAGACUGACGCUCAGGUGCGAAAGCGUGGGGAGCAAACAGG
This 429-nucleotide ribosomal RNA is filed under the name Chloroflexota bacterium. Its description in RNAcentral is "Chloroflexi bacterium partial 16S ribosomal RNA". It matches the Rfam family "Bacterial small subunit ribosomal RNA", at positions 355 to 776 of the family's 1533-position model. Lineage: Bacteria; Bacillati; Chloroflexota. The record is from RNAcentral.